AAAGUAUAGUGUGGGCACUUUCAAAGAAACUCCUUAAAACUUUCCCAAGCUUUGUAUAUUGAUUAUCCAUCUAAUUACACGAAUUAUGUGAUAUCAUUCCUAAUCUU
This is a small nucleolar RNA of Dendrobium catenatum, 107 nucleotides long. The record is from RefSeq and is a predicted model, not a curated record. Lineage: Eukaryota; Viridiplantae; Streptophyta; Magnoliopsida; Asparagales; Orchidaceae.